CAAUAGCGUAUAUUAAAGUUGUUGCAGUUAAAAAGCUCGUAGUUGGAUUUCUGGUGGGAGCGAUCGGUCUGGUGCUUAGCGCGAGUACUUGCAUCGUCUCCGGCCAUCCUUGGGGAGAGUCUGUCUGGCAUUAGGUUGUCGGGCAGAGGAUCCUCAUCGUUUACUGUGAAAAAAUUAGAGUGUUCAAAGCAGGCUUAUGCCGUUGAAUAUAUUAGCAUGGAAUAAUAAGAUAGGACUUUGGUACUAUUUUGUUGGUUUGCGCACCAAAGUAAUGAUUAAUAGGGACAGUUGGGGGUAUUCGUAUUCCGUUGUCAGAGGUGAAAUUCUUGGAUUUACGGAAGGCGAACUACUGCGAAAGCAUUUACCAAGGAUGUUUUCAUUAA
This 383-nucleotide ribosomal RNA is filed under the name uncultured eukaryote. RNAcentral describes it as "partial 18S ribosomal RNA". It matches the Rfam family "Eukaryotic small subunit ribosomal RNA", at positions 592 to 976 of the family's 1831-position model. The record is from RNAcentral.